GGCCUUGCGCUCUUUGAGCGGCCGAUGUCAGAUUAGCUAGUUGGUGAGGUAAAGGCUUACCAAGGCGACGAUCUGUAUCGGGUCUGAGAGGAUGAUCCGCCACACUGGAACUGAGACACGGUCCAGACUCCUACGGGAGGCAGCAGUGGGGAAUUUUGGACAAUGGGGGCAACCCUGAUCCAGCCAUGCCGCGUGAGUGAAGAAGGCCUUCGGGUUGUAAAGCUCUUUCGGCCGGGAAGAAAUCGCAUGGGCCAAUACCCUGUGUGGAUGACGGUACCGGAAUAAGAAGCACCGGCUAACUACGUGCCAGCAGCCGCGGUAAUACGUAGGGUGCGAGCGUUAAUCGGAAUUACUGGGCGUAAAGCGUGCGCAGGCGGUUUUGUAAGACAGGCGUGAAAUCCCCGGGCUUAACCUGGGAACUGCGUUUGUGACUGCAAGGCUAGAGUACGGCAGAGGGGGGUGGAAUUCCACGUGUAGCAGUGAAAUGCGUAGAGAUGUGGAGGAACACCAAUGGCGAAGGCAGCCCCCUGGGUCGAUACUGACGCUCAUGCACGAAAGCGUGGGUAGCAAACAGGAUUAGAUACCCUGGUAGUCCACGCCCUAAACUAUGUCAACUAGGUGUUGGGUGGGUAAAACCAUUUAGUACCGUAGCUAACGCGUGAAGUUGACCGCCUGGGGAGUACGGCCGCAAGGUUAAAACUCAAAGGAAUUGACGGGGACCCGCACAAGCGGUGGAUGAUGUGGAUUAAUUCGAUGCAACGCGAAAAACCUUACCUACCCUUGACAUGCCAGGAACUUGCCAGAGAUGGCUUGGUGCCCGAAAGGGAGCCUGGACACAGGUGCUGCAUGGCUGUCGUCAGCUCGUGUCGUGAGAUGUUGGGUUAAGUCCCGCAACGAGCGCAACCCUUGUCGUUAAUUGCCAUCAUUUAGUUGGGCACUUUAACGAGACUGCCGGUGACAAACCGGAGGAAGGUGGGGAUGACGUCAAGUCCUCAUGGCCCUUAUGGGUAGGGCUUCACACGUCAUACAAUGGUCGGUACAAAGGGUUGCCAAGCCGCGAGGCGGAGCCAAUCCCAGAAAGCCGAUCGUAGUCCGGAUUGCAGGCUGCAACUCGCCUGCAUGAAGUCGGAAUCGCUAGUAAUCGUGGAUCAGCAUGUCACGGUGAAUACGUUCCCGGGUCUUGUACACACCGCCCGUCACACCAUGGGAGCGGGUUCCGCCAGAAGUAGGUAGCCUAACCGCAAGGGGGGCGCUUACCACGGCGGGGUUCGUGACUGGGGUGAAGUCGAAACAAGGUA
RNAcentral lists this ribosomal RNA (1298 nucleotides) under metagenome. RNAcentral describes it as "bacterial SSU rRNA". It matches the Rfam family "Bacterial small subunit ribosomal RNA", at positions 209 to 1498 of the family's 1533-position model. The record is from RNAcentral.